UCCAACUUCCUUCUCGUUUCUCUCUCUCUCUUUCAAUCUCUUCCCCUUGGCCGGGCCCCCCCUCCGCCGGGGCCUCCCCCUCCGCCUCCGCCGCCGCCGUCCGCCGUCCGCCCAUCUCUCCGCCGCUGCUCUCCACCGUCAGCCCAUCUCUCCGCCGCUGCUCUCCACCGUCAGCCCAUCUCUCCGCCGCUGCUCUCCGCCGUUCGCCCAUCUCUCCGCCGUCCGCCGCUACUCUCCGGCGUCAAUAGCUAGCCCUAAUUUCCUCCUCUCUAUCUAGCCCUCGAUCAACAACAACAAAAAGAGAAUAGAGGUCUGGAUUACAGUUGCGUACUACUGAAAGCAAUUGAUCGAUUUUAGGGUUCUUCCUUCGGGCUGCCAUUCCCAAAACUACUGUCAAAUCGAAUUGCAGAUAUGGGUGUGUUCGAGCUGCGGUUGGUAAUAAUGGUGGUAACGCUCUUGUUAAUAGUUCCAAGCAUGUAUGGUUGGGGAAAACAAGGCCACAUUAUAACUUGCAAGAUUGCUGAGAAUUUUCUCACUAAAGAUGCUUUAGCUUCAGUGAAAGCAUUACUUCCAGGCAGUGCUGAAGGUGAACUUGCUUCUGUUUGCUCGUGGCCAGACGAGAUUCGUCGGAGUGCGCAUAAUCGGUGGAGUGGUCCUUUACAUUACAUAGAUACACCUGACUUCAGAUUGUUUUGAUCGCUUUUCCAGAGGAAGAAUUAUCGUCUAUGUCAGUCGAGGAAUUUAUGCCACUAUAAUUGUGCCUAUGCAGCUUUACCACCGUAGUUUUGGUACCAGUUGUACCUUUACGCUUUCUGACUUUUACUUAUGCUAUAGGAGAUUGCCAUGACUCUGUUGGUCGUAAAUAUAGGUGUGUCACUGGAGCAAUUUACAACUACACAAUGCAGCUUAUGACAGAGAGUCGUGAUACCGAUUUCUCAGUAAUGAAGUGCUGAUUUGGAACGAGUGUACGAUGAGACAAUGCAUGAUGGAAGUGACGAAAGCACGGCCAACUCAACUGCGAUAAAAAAAGUGCUCGGAAAAAGCAAAGGGCUUGGAAUUAAGAUUGCAACCACCACAAAGAGUUCAAAGUCGAGAUUUUCUUCAAUUCCACCGGAAGUGCAACUGGAAAUGAAUUCAAUGAAAGAGCAAAUGCAACUUAAAGAUGAAAAAAUGGAAAGAUUGGAAGCGGAAUUGAAAGAAACCCGAAAAAUUGUGAACACCUUGGUCGGCCGUUUUGGACUACAAGCCUCGACAUCGACUCCUUCCAAUGAUGGUGGAGUAUAAAAAGGGAUGAACUUUGUUUGGUUUUUGAAUUAAAGUUUGAAACACUACAUUAUAUGCUUUUAAGUUUGUAUGUACUUUUUUAAUUUAUGCUUUGUGCUACCUUGAUAUUU
Erythranthe guttata (spotted monkey flower) is the source of this 1394-nucleotide non-coding RNA. The record is from RefSeq and is a predicted model, not a curated record. Lineage: Eukaryota; Viridiplantae; Streptophyta; Magnoliopsida; Lamiales; Phrymaceae.